Molecule: long non-coding RNA, 311 nt
Filed under: Elaeis guineensis (African oil palm)
Lineage: Eukaryota; Viridiplantae; Streptophyta; Magnoliopsida; Arecales; Arecaceae
Description: long non-coding RNA (EGUI_LNC024836)
Source: RNAcentral
CAUCCUAGAGCAUUCAGGGUCAAAAGGAUGAAUUAUGCGGUAACUAUGUACAUGAGUCUUAGAAUAUUCUUUUAUGAUAAUUCGAUCUAUUUAGAUAUUGGAAACCAUUGCUAGAUGGUAUUUAAUUAGUGUAGGAAUUAGUUCCUAUUCUACCAGUUUAGUGUUUGAACCUAUAAAGUUACACACAUAAGUCAGACACCAUAGGAAAGUAUUGGCUUAUAUUUAUGUGUCCAAGUUAAAAGUACUUGACUUGAUUGAAUAUAUAAGCUAACUUGAUUAAGAAUUAAGUUAUGGAUUAAACGGGAUUGAAG